RNAcentral lists this ribosomal RNA (1031 nucleotides) under uncultured Mycoplasma sp. RNAcentral's name for it is "bacterial SSU rRNA". It matches the Rfam family "Bacterial small subunit ribosomal RNA", at positions 349 to 1386 of the family's 1533-position model. The record is from RNAcentral. Lineage: Bacteria; Bacillati; Mycoplasmatota; Mollicutes; Mycoplasmatales; Mycoplasmataceae.
CAGCAGUAGGGAAUCUUCCACAAUGAGCGAAAGCUUGAUGGAGCGACACAGCGUGCAGGAUGAAGGUUUUCGAAUUGUAAACUGCUGUUAUAGGGGAAGAAAAACUUGGAUAGGAAAUGAUCCAAACUUGACGGUACCUUAUUAGAAAGUGACGGCUAACUAUGUGCCAGCAGCCGCGGUAAUACAUAGGUCACAAGCGUUAUCCGGAAUUAUUGGGCGUUAAGCGUUCGUAGGCGGUUUGUUAAGUCUGGAGUUAAAGACUGGGGCUCAACCCCAGCCCGCUCUGGAUACUGGCUGACUAGAGUUACAUAGAGGUAAGUGGAAUUCUUAGUGGAGCGGUGGAAUGCGUAGAUAUUAGGAAGAACACCAAUGGCGAAGGCAGCUUACUGGAUGUACACUGACGCUCAGGGACGAAAGCGUGGGGAGCAAACAGGAUUAGAUACCCUGGUAGUCCACGCCGUAAACGAUGAUCAUUAGCCGCUAGAAUAUUUAGUGGCGCAGCUAACGCAUUAAAUGAUCCGCCUGAGUAGUAUGCUCGCAAGAGUGAAACUUAAAGGAAUUGACGGGGACCCGCACAAGCGGUGGAGCAUGUGGUUUAAUUUGAAGAUACGCGUAGAACCUUACCCACUCUUGACAUCUUCCGCAAUACUAUGGAGACAUAGUGGAGGUUAACGGAAUGACAGAUGGUGCAUGGUUGUCGUCAGCUCGUGCCGUGAGGUGUUAGGUUAAGUCCUGCAACGAGCGCAACCCCUGUCUUUAGUUACUAACGGAUAAUGCCGAGGACUCUAGAGAGACUGACUGGGUAACCAGUAGGAAGGUGGGGACGACGUCAAAUCAUCAUGCCUCUUACGAGUGGGGCAACACACGUGCUACAAUGGACGGUACAAAGAGAAGCAAUAUGGUGACAUGGAGCAAACCUCAAAAACCGUUCUCAGUUCGGAUUGAAGUCUGAAACUCGACUUCAUGAAGUUGGAAUCGCUAGUAAUCGUAGAUCAGCUACGCUACGGUGAAUACGUUCUCGGGUCUUGUAC